RNAcentral lists this ribosomal RNA (345 nucleotides) under Triticum aestivum (bread wheat). RNAcentral describes it as "partial small subunit ribosomal RNA". The record is from RNAcentral. Lineage: Eukaryota; Viridiplantae; Streptophyta; Magnoliopsida; Poales; Poaceae.
AUGAGCUCCUGCAGGACACGGGCACGACAAAAGGGUCAGGGAGGAAGAGAGGGAAAGAGAAGAAAGAGCAGGGGCGCACGGCGAGGCAUUCGUCCCAGGUUCGUUCGAAUAGACAAGGCGCUUGGGUCGGCCGACGCUCUGCUCGGUGGUACUCUGGCCGGGGCUCUCGGGAGGAGGAGGUUGCGGGAUUGGGUGGAUCGAGGGGAGGAGAAUGUUGGACCGGUGCUGAAAACGAGGGAGUUGGUCGGGAUCGACUGGGAAUGGGUGGAUGGCUCUGGGAGGAUCCCGAUGAAGAGAGUGGCAGCGGUGAGGAGGAGGAUUGGUGGAUUGGACAAGAUAGGCUAG